Molecule: long non-coding RNA, 408 nt
Filed under: Cucumis sativus (cucumber)
Lineage: Eukaryota; Viridiplantae; Streptophyta; Magnoliopsida; Cucurbitales; Cucurbitaceae
Description: long non-coding RNA (CSAT_LNC001292)
Source: RNAcentral
UUUGUUGCUCUCUAAGCCAGCUAAGGGUGUGGACAAGAGCUUCUCCCUUCUUUCCCUUCUUGACAAGAUCCUUCCCAUCUACAAGUAAAGAACUGUUGAUUUACGUCUGUACUUUGAGUUUUGCCCAUUAACGACUAUCUCUUCUCAUUUUUAUUAAUAAUCGACCACUUUUCAGGGAGGUUGUGUCAGAUCUUAAGGCAGCUGGUGCUUCUUGGAUUCAGUUUGAUGAGCCUACAUUGGUGAAGGAUCUUGAUUCUGACAAAUUGAAGGCCUUCUCUGAUGCAUAUGCUCAACUAGAAUCAACUCUCUCUGGGUUGAAUGUUCUUGUUGAGACAUAUUUUGCUGAUAUCCCUGCUGAAGCAUACAAGACCUUGACUUCUUUGAAGGGUGUCACUGCCUAUGGAUUUG